AAUGAACGCUGGCGGCGCGCCUAAUACAUGCAAGUCGAGCGAGAAGACGUAGCAAUACGUUUGUAAAGCGGCGAACGGGUGAGGAAUACAUGGGUAACCUACCCUCGAGUGGGGAAUAACUAGCCGAAAGGUUAGCUAAUACCGCGUACGCUUCUUGGACUUCGGUUCAGGGAGGAAAGCGAUGCCGAGGGUAUCGCGCUCUUGGAUGGGCUCAUGUCCUAUCAGCUUGUUGGNGAGGUAACGGCUCACCAAGGCUUCGACGGGUAGCUGGUCUGAGAGGACGAUCAGCCACACUGGCACUGCGACACGGGCCAGACUCCUACGGGAGGCAGCAGUAAGGAAUAUUGCGCAAUGGGCG
RNAcentral lists this ribosomal RNA (358 nucleotides) under uncultured bacterium. RNAcentral describes it as "bacterial SSU rRNA". It matches the Rfam family "Bacterial small subunit ribosomal RNA", at positions 29 to 377 of the family's 1533-position model. The record is from RNAcentral.